RNAcentral lists this long non-coding RNA (346 nucleotides) under Phasianus colchicus (ring-necked pheasant). Its description in RNAcentral is "lncRNA (ENSPCLG00000003047.1)". The record is from RNAcentral. Lineage: Eukaryota; Metazoa; Chordata; Aves; Galliformes; Phasianidae.
AAUACACAACUCCUAGGAAGAGUAAGAAAAAGUUAAAACAUCCAUCAGACUGGAACUGGUGGCAAAUAAAAGUCUCUCAAGAGGCUAGAAAGGUGGCAUUAAGCCAGCAGAAGGGCAUUGAUGUGGCAUAACUCCUUACGGUAUGUUUGGCUCCCUUGACAGAAGUACAGCUGCAUGUCAAUGGCUAGCUUGGAUCCCAUCUGCAGGGCUUGUGAACUGCAACAGCAUGUUCUUCUGUUAGCGAUCAUAGCUUUGUCAUUCGACUUUUUGGCAAAAUACUGCAUCUUCAGCCAGGAGAAGUUGGCGAAGUACAAAAGGGCUUUUGAAGCGGAAAUAUGAAAGCAUC